Gallus gallus (chicken) is the source of this 11757-nucleotide long non-coding RNA. RefSeq lists it as uncharacterized. The record is from RefSeq and is a predicted model, not a curated record. NCBI's taxonomy places the organism in Eukaryota, Metazoa, Chordata, Aves, Galliformes, Phasianidae. The transcript has 3 exons.
AGAGGGAGUGAGGGAGGAGCGCACCGCGUCGCGAACCGGGAGAGCGGAGCGCGGGGCUCGGGCUCGGCCGGGACGGGGCUUUCAGCCAGAGCCGCUCCGAGGCACCGCCGCUGAACCCGGCUCCGAGCGGUGCCCCUCGAGCAGCGGUCCUGGCGCGGUGCGGCUCCAGACGUCAGCUCCGUGCUCGUUUAACUGGGCUCGGCGGUAAGUCACAGAAUCUUCCUUACAGCGUGUUCGGAGCCUGCCUCCUCGCCCUUAGCGACAAAUACAGACACUUUUCUCCGCGUUCCCGCUCUGCGGUAAAAAAGAACGGAGCCCGUGGGAAGCACAGUUCCAGGUGUUUGACUUUGAGGGAAGGAAAGCGGACCCCAGGCUGCGACCCGCGGAGAGCUGGGAGAUGAGGCCGACCGCUGUUAUCCUCAGACGGAGCCGAGCAUCGCUCAACUGUGGGGAAAUACCAAAUCCCCACCCUUCUGCGCACUGCCCGACGGCUGAGCUCAUUCGGCGUAUAUUACAAUGCGACCCCGCACUGUAGGCAGUGAGGAAAACUGUGUCAACAGGAGCCGAGAGGUCGUAAAUUAAAGAAAGAGAAAGAUAGAGACGGAGGAGCUGCAGAGGCGGCGGCCGAGCCGCGGGUCCUUCUCCUGCGGGAACUCGGAGCUCUCGGGGAGGAGGCGGCGGGGAUGCCUGCGGAAGGCACCGGGGAAGAGCAAGGGGGGAGCGGGCCCGGCGCAGGGGGAAGGAGCGGCGCUGAGCCCGGGGUUCAACUCGGCCGCGCCGGGGGGCUGCGGGGCGGCAGGAGUGGUGGGCUCGGCGGGCACGGCCUGGGAGCCGAGCGGGUGAUGCCAGGCUCCGGAGGGAAGGGGAGAGAGGUGUGCGGUCUCUGGGGGCAGUGCACCGGGACAGAAAGCGGCUGUGCGUGUGUAUGAGUAUAUACCCUUGUGUGCGUCUGGUGUACGCUACGAAAAGGCAAAGCCAGUCCAGACGUAGAACGUAUGUAAAUACACGUUCGGCCACACGUACGCAUGCUUGCACUAAAACGGCUGAUAAAUCUCUAUCUAUGUGUGCGCGCAUAUGUCGUGUUGUCCUAAGGAAAUAACGUAUCUCCGGUGCAGUUUUUUAGAUUGCAGGGAGGCCGCGGACACCCCGCGCCCGGAGGCCACCGGCACAGCGCCUGCAGCGACGGCCGGCACACGGCGCUCCUCCGGCUGCGUUCGGCCGCGGUGCUUCCCUCGGUGCGGAGCAGAAGCGGCAUUGCCGAGGCUGGGAGAACGCAUGGGCUGAGGAUGGGGACGUGCUCCUUUGCACUCUCUUUACUCGUGUAGGAGCUUUCUGACACGCCACGGGCUGGACCGAAACUGCGGCAGCGUCCGUGGCACUGCGGUGACUCCGACAACAUCCCCUGUGAUGAAGGGAACGGAUAACGUGAGACAGAGAAAAAGGAAUAAAAGAUCCAGGAGAUAUGGCUCAGAACGCCGGUCUCGAAGCUCGAAUCGUUAUUGCUUAAUUAGCUUUGGAGAAAGGGGCUCUCUCGCUAAAGCACCCAGCAGGACCAUACAUAUAAUUUUCCUCCUAUCCCCCGGCGAUUGCUUAUGCAUUUCAUAAAGUGAAUUUUAGUGCGAACGCCUCCCUCGUGUCCUCCCCCAACUCCUCGCCUCUCAGGCCGCGCUUUGCUCUUCGGCUGCAGCCGCCACAGCCCUACACAACGUUCACAGGACUGGGCUCAGGGGCAGCUGACAAGUUUAUCCCAUCUCCCAUUUAUUGAUUUGAAUCGUUGUUCUUUUUUUCCCCUUCCCCACUCACAAAUCAGUCGCUUAGAAAAGGGGGGGAGGGGGGGGGGGAAGGAAAAAGAAAAAGGAAAGAAAAAAAGCUCUCCCCGUAUGUCACUUUUUUCCCCGCCAGGGAAAAAAAAAAAAAAGGUUGCACGUCAGGCGGGGAUCUCUGCUGCCAGACAGCACUUUCCGAGCUCGCCGCAAUUAAGAAGUUUUGGUGGCGACCGCGCCGAGGCUGCUUUUCCCUCUCCUCCACCCCGGGCUCUUUCUGUCUUUACGCACUUAUCUGGGGGUGACUCUCCGGGGACAGCAGAACGACGGCGGCGGGCCGUACAGCGGGACUCGGAGCCGCCCGGGGUCGGGCAGCGGCAGCCCCGCCGCGUCACGGGGUGUCGGGUCCCGUCCCGCUCCGGGCGGCAGCGAAUGGCCCCUCCUUCAUUCACCUUGCAGCUCCACUAAGCCAAGGAACCCCCCCAGCACCCCAAGGGCACCCCGGCCCUGCCGUCUCCACCCCCGGCUCUCUUUUCCCCACGUUUUCUGCCUACCACAUCGCUCGGCCGCCCGCUGCACGGCUCGGAGUAGCGUUUGGAUUUAUAGCGUGCGUGAUGUCACCGGCCGGGAGCGAGGGAAUGGGAGAAGGGUGUAAUCCUCGGAUGGGUUUGGGGACACCGCGGUACCCCGCGCCCCAGCGGCACUUCCUUCCUCCGAGACACCGCUCAGGAGUCCGUGAAAGACCACAAAGCCUCAGGAAAGCGGACUUCUUUAGAGAGGCACCGGAGAAAUAUCAUUUGAAGGUCAACCUGUCAGCGUGGGUUAAUGAAAAGGACUUGUGCCUAAUGGGCCUACUUAUGCCCGCAGUUACACUCAGGCAACCUCGAUUUCAGCGUCUGGGGCAGAGGGCAGAAUUGGGCCCACCAGGCCCGAACUAAUUGCUGCCCUUGAAGGCGGAGGAACCCUGCUUUACGUUACUGCUAUGGGGUACGGACGUCCACACGUUUCGGGCACGAUAACCUACGCAGUGUGUUAAAAAAGAGGAAAAGCAAAAGGCAUACAUAAAAAAAGCAGGGACGAGGAUAACCCGAGACAGUGAGCACUGCGCAGGUUGCAGUGAUUGGCGGUAAGCGCGGGACCGUGCGCAUUUUCCUACUGCAUGUGUGAGCAAUUAUUGCUGAUAUUCGUCACCGAGGAUCCAGAGUUGCAUUCAGACCUCAGGAAGAAAUCACGGAAAGAAAAAGAGAAUGCAACGAACUCAAACCAAGAGCCCUUCUUUGUCAGAAGGGCGAUAAUAAAGGCUGUGUGAAACGCCGCUGUGAGCGCACAGUGCAUCUCUCUGUUCCUGGGUUGCCAAUCUCCUGAACACCCCCGUGCAUUAUCACGCACACGGAUGCCUACAGACACGCACACAUUUUUCCAUGUAAUGUUGUUUGCGUUCCUGGCAAAGAGCAUCCUGAAUCCGCUCUUGAGCCCGGCGCCGGUGAACUCGCUCGCGGGUGCCACUGCUUUAUUACCGAUUUCUCCUCCAGCAACCGAAGUUCCCGCACUGGAGGGGUUGGGUUGGCAUCGUUUGGGGUUUGACAAAGCUCAACGCUCCCAUUGUUAUCGACGGAAAGACCCCACCGGACAAGGCAGGGCUUUAAGUAGCGUUCACACAUCAAAGGCAACCGAGCCUGGUUUAACAGACGUCCCACCGGAGGGUGGGAAAUCCCCUCGGCGUCCCCCUCCCCGCAGCCCGAGCUGUGCGUGCCCGAUGCCCCGUUGCCGUGCGCCCGCAUGGCAGCGUCGGCCCCGCACUUGUCGGGGGCAGCGGAGCGCGGGGCCUCGGCGCGUAUCUCGGUGUAAUUGAUCUGCCCGAGUGAGGUCUUUUUGGUAAUUUGGAUACACCGAGUCUCCAGUUAAUGACAUAUAAUCAGCCUUUAGGUCACUUGGUCAUUCUCUUAUUACAAACUCCUCCUGCUCUCUCUGAUCUCCUUUCAAACUAAAUUUCACACAAACAAAUAAAGCAAGACAGGGACAAGUCCUUAAAACGCGAGAGAGAAAUAUCGGAGAAUUGCUCGUGGGGAACUAUAAACAUUUUAAAAAGAGAACCCGAAAAGAUAGGAAGGAACAUCUUAUCGAGAAAGAGAGCAUUGUGUACAAAGCACGGGGGAAAUCGGUCUGGCUUCUGUUAAAAAUGACAUAAAAUUAAAAUAAAAAUAAUUACAAACAGAAAUGGCAUGGCAGAAACAGAGGGCAGGAGGCUUUACUGGAACCGCGCGACCGCGCCGUAACGCGCUCUGACGACACUACGGCCGAUCCGCGGGUGUGGAAAACGCUCAUUUGCUUCCCGUUAGCCGGCAAAAGAAAGGGGAAAAAAAAAACCCUAAAAGCCUUUUCUCUUCGGGAAAGUAACAGAAAGAGCCGCGUGUCAUUUACCUCCCGAGACCUGCAGGGAAACGGAGCCGCGGCCAAAGCCUUGGGUGUAAAUGCGACAACAAAAAUAAAUAUUUGACAUCACCGCGCAGAACAUAUUUUACGAAGUCAACACUUUGUUUUUCUGCUUUUCAUUUUUUUCCACCCCCCUUCCCCUCUCGGAAAAGACAAUGCCCCUUUUUAUUAGGUGCUCCUUAGGAGGUUAUUUUGAUCUCUCUCCAGGUCCGUCUCUCUGCGGGGAACACCGCGCUGCGGUGCGCGCAGAGCGCGGGGCGUUGGACGGAGCCGGGCUGGGGGCUGCGGGCGGGGCGGGAUUGGAGCGCACCCCCGGUUUCGGAACCGGAGCUCGAUUAUAAAAUGGAGAGAGAGCGGAUUUCAGCGUCGCUCAAAUGUUAGCACUCGAGGAGGAAGCAUGAAAAUGGACAGAAGUCCACAUUCCCUUACGGGCACUAGCAUCUUUCGAAAUAUUAUCGACGUGCGUUUUACCAAAGAUCUCGUUUGUAUUUAAUACGGGGUUCAGACAGGCGCUAAUUGGGCGUAUAAAUGUACGUGAGACUGCGAGUAUCAGCGCCCGGGCAGGCUCGCCCAGCGAGGGAAAAAGGGGCAAUGAAUACGUGGAAAAGAGUGUCACAAGGCCCCAGCGCGGAGCAUAUCAGUGACAAACCUCGUUGCUGGCUCACUACGUUCGCUGCCGUUUCAACAUUUCCAAGGGCCUCCGUUUCUCCGCCCGCCCGUCCGCGGUCGGCUGCCCCGAAGCGCGGUGCCGCGGCAGAGACCCGGCCCGGUAACGCGAGAGGCUCAGUGAGGCAGAGCCCCGACGGGGCGCACGCUGGGGGCCGGCACCAGUUGUGCCCCGGCUCCUCCGCUGCCCGAGGGUAGCCGAGGGGGUGCGAGAGGCCGGGCAGGAGGCCCGCUGUCCCCCGCUGCCCCUCGUCUUCCCGCGGCUCCCCCAGCCCCGGAGGAGCCCCGAGGCCUGGGGGUGGCUGGAAAGUGUUAAGCGCUGCCCCCUCCUCCUCCUCCUCGAGCCCCCUGAAUGCCACUGCUUUCCUCUAGAGGUCUCAUUAGGGAAACCCUAACUGCUAUUUUCAACAUUUCCUCAAUCAAGCGCCUUUAAAUAGAGCUCCACAAACAAAUUGGCGGCAAAAAGCGCAGAUCUUGUCAGGGGAGAGGCCGCUCCAAUAUUUCACCCUUGUUUGCUUUGUAAUUACGGCCGGGCCGGUGGCUACCUGCCCGCUGGGGCCGGCUUCCCUCGCCCCCCGCUGCCGACACCUCUCCCACCCAGCGAGCCGUCCCGGGGGCGGCUGGAGGGGAAUAAGCAAAAACUAGAGAGCGGCAUCGCCCCGCGCCCAGCUCUGCCCGAGCUCUGCGGCUCCCAGCACGCGGGAUUCCCCCCGCAGCUCCGUCCCGAGGGCUGCCCCCGCCCGGCUCUGAGGGCCGUCGCUUUUGCUUUGCGCGCUUCUUCUCUCCCUCUCUCUGCUAAACCGCUGUUAUGAUUUGUUAUAUUUUCCACAGCUGCUUAUUCUUGUUUGACUGUUGUACAAAGCCGCUUUAAAUCUGCUGCAGGAAGAAUAAAAGUUAAAACCGCUCUUGGACGGGUUCCUGCAGACUCAUGGGCGAGUCCGGGUCCGUGGCCGUCCCCGAGCAACGCCGCGGGCCCCGAGAAGCCCCUCCCGCAGCCUGGGGCAGCCGCCCGCUCGCAGCGACAACAAAAAUCGGCGCUAAUUCAAUUAGGGCUGAAGCCCGCGUGUAGCAGAGGGGAACUUUGGCGCUUAGGAACUAAGCUGCUAUAUUCGCUUGGCUAUAAACUGACGAGAAUAUUUUAUGGCGGAGGAGAACCGUACAACACAAAAGGGAAAUAUGACAAUAAAUCUCUUUUUAUGGAUCCUCUCUAGCAGCAAAACCACAAGGAUUCCACGGUUUUACCGCUCAGCCGUUUUACAGGUACAUCUACAGAUGCCUACGCAGAGAAGAGCGCCCCGUUUCCGCCACCUGGCCCCCAGAACGGGGACGUCCGACUCUGCGUCCCCAGCCCAAAGUCAGCCCCCCCUCCCCGACUUCCACAGGCGCAGCACCGGCACGAGAGCUCCGUGUGAGAGCUGCGAGGACACGCUCUGAUCAUUGACGGUGCCACCGCGGUGCCCUUCGCUGCUUUACUGACACGCACAACUUUAAGGCAGAAGUGAAUUCUGCACCGUUCCUCUCCGGCUGAACACAGAGUCACUUUCUUUCUGGUUGCUCCCAAACGAUAAACGUUUGAGAUCGUUUAUCCACCCGCUAAAGGAGCUAAAACACAGCUCUGGUUUCACAGGGCCAGGUUUAUAGAGAGAUUCACGGACUAAAAUAAGAAUAGGUAGUUCAGGGGGGGGAUUUCAGAGUGGCGAGGAGUCCAGAGAUCCUUGAAAUAUGUGCAGGUUCAGCAUGGAAACCUCUUUGAUGAUUUAAACCCUGAAUAUGAUUGGAAACCAAAAUACACAGCUCUCUGCCCUCAGUACCUUUAAAAAUUGGCCUUGCAGAGAAUAUAUUUUUUUCAGAGUCGCGUUCCACUGUAAAAUGCCAUUUAUAUGCCCUAAACCCGUUUUAUUAAAUGCUAGCAAGUCAGCUUCUCAAGCAGUAGGAAUAUUUUUCUCUGUCCUCAUGCCCUGUUUUGAUUCUUUCUUAUUACUGAGUCCUAAUCAGGCUCACUCUCGUCGCCCAAACCCCAGUUCAGGUCACCAAGAAAGCAAGGAAUAGCUGCUAGGUCUGGUGGUUUGCUGCCGGGUUGUGAUUUAGAAGUGCAGGCUCAAAUAAAACAACUUCACAUAUCGUCUCACAGUUUCACAUACUUCUUUUCCAGCGGAUCAGGCAAACGAUUUCAGAACCCUGGCUUUCUUAAGGAAAGCUGUGGAACAAUCUAUGGAUCUGAAACGUCAAUCCUAACCACCUAACACCUACAAAAUGUAACGGUGGGAAAAAGAAAGAUGACCCACACUGACAGACACAGUCCUCCUCAUCAGGGAAAUGGUCGGGAUGUUCUUGAGCUCGCUCCGGUACGUCCACCAGGCUCACAUAGAGGAGCAGAACACCUUACAGACCGACUGUGCUCCGUUUCCUACUGAGAAGCUGUCCUGAGCUGAUCUCUAUUCCACCGAUGUACUGCAAGUGCUGUUUUACAGCCACUUCAAGGACCUCUGUGCUUGUCUGCAGUUUGCAGCACUGGCAGAAUAGAGGGAAGACUGAGCCCUGUAUGCACGGUUAUGCUCGGUGAGCUGGAGGCCAGGGGCUCUGCCCUGCACGCAGUGGAGCCCACUGACUCCAUGUGUGUACUAUUCCUAAAGAUAUGUCCUAACUUGUAAAAACUGUGCAUGCCCAUUUCAUGUGAUAUGUGCAUGCUCACAUCUGGGCUGCAUGUGUGGAAAAAGUAAAGGCACACACCGCAAACAAUUUUACAUGUGCAAUUUUCAAAGUAGGGGUCUAUGGGUCUACAGCACAGCAUAUCUACAGUGCAUAAAAUGACAUUCUUCUGCACAGGAGAGCAUUUUUAAGCAGCUUUCAAAGGGAAGAAAAAGCAGCACGGUUCUUGGUAGCUGAAUUAUCAGCAGCUUAUUUCUCCUGGUGACUCCUGGAUCCUUCUGCAAACCCACUAAGAAAGCGUUGCUCCUAAACAGCAACAUGCACACAGCAACCAGAAUAUUUCAGAUCUUCAUUUCUACAGGCUGAUGUUAUUAAAAUUAAAAACAUCUGCUUUGAGGAAUGCAGAUUUUCUGGAUGUAAAUGCUUCUCUACUCCCACGGUAAAUUCAACUACUCAUGAAACAAAGUGCAAUUCUAAACAUCCAUCACAUGAUUUUGCACAGUAGCAAAGGGAACAGUGCUUCCCUUACUGUUUCUGUUGUUCAAACAACAAAAACAACAACAACAAAAAUAGGAUAAAAGCUUUCAGAUGAGAGCACGUUCCUAAUCCCUUUGUAGGUAAUAGAGUUCCUAUCUUGUUGCUGCUUUGUGACCAUUUGGCCAUGCAUAGUGGGCGAAGGUUCACCCUGGUAUCUCCAGGACAGCUCCCAGAGAGAUGUGCUUGUGCUUGGGAUAGGCUUUUAGAUCUCUGUCUGUUAUCAGCUCACCAAUGCAGCUUUGUGACUGGGGAGAGUGCUGAGCAGAGCGCCGGCAGUCUGCAUUUCAAAUGCUCUCAUCUCAUCCCAAUUAGAGGCACCCUGGGCUUCAAACUCCUCUGCAAAUCCGGAGAGAAACUUCCUCCCUUUUGUGUUCCCCUUAAAAUCGUUUGGAAAAACUCGAAUAUUUGUGUUAGCUUCUCUUGCGCUGAAGAUAAACCCUAUAUUUCUGUUUAAGAAUGAGCAAAUACGUUUAUUGACUACCACAAGAACACAUCAGUUGCUGUGCUUUAAAUAUGCCUCUACGUUAUUGACUAAUAAGUGCAGACUGUGGAGUUGCACUGAAUGCUGUGGUAUGUACAUGAAACGCUUUGCUUCUUUUGCCUGUUGGGAUAUCUCUAAACAACAAUAAUAAAUAAACAUUACAAACAUUGCGUCAAUCCUACUGGUAAAGGAACUGGAAAAAAAAAAAGGAGAUAAUACAUGGGAGGACACUGCCCUAAUCCAUGCAGACGUGGUGCAUGACUAAGAAAGCACAAUGUGCAUAGGAGUGUGUAUGGUGCUACCCAGAAGUGAAUAAUGGACAUUCUUUUCUCACACUGACUCCUCAUAAAUCUGCCACUGGCUAAAUUUGAGGGUUUCAGAAAUGGUGUUUAAAUGGAAACUUAGAUGAAAGAUAGCAUUAGUGUAAACUAAGAAAAAAACCUUGAUGCCUAUCCAUGUUUUAGGAAAAAAAAGGUUUAAGAUGUUCAAAUACUUUUCUACAUGAGGAGGAACUGGCACCUCCCUUGGACCACAGGACAUAAUAGGAACCACCAAAGAUAGCCUAAAGCAAAUGGUAAAGAAAGGCUCCCACACAGCUCUCAGUUUUGUCAUAAUAUGAAUGGCGUCUUCAAUCAAAUGACCACCGUAAUCACAUAUUGCUCCAAGAACACAGCAACUAUAAUUGUUUAGCAUCAGAAGUGAUCAAAUGUGUGAUAUAAUUUGAAACUGCACAAUAUUUUUUUUUUUCUGAAAAGCUAUGAAAUCCAGCAAUUAGAAUGAUUUAAAUAUUAUUCCAGAAUUAUGUCACUGUUUUGUAAGAAGGAUUUUAACCGAGAUUUUUUCUUCCUGACUCUUUCAAAAUUUCCAGUGUUUUUACACCAGAAGCUAACAACUCUUUCUUCCCCCAUCCUCUCCCAUAAAGACAUAGGGGCGUUUUCAAGAUAGCCCACUCUUCAGCCUGGACUCCAGCCAUUUUAAAUACUGAUUGCCACCUACACAUUCCCACCAUUGCUGUCAACAGAAGAUCUGCUAUCUGUAGGAUGGAUGCUAUCCAAAAGAAGGCUUUAAGUUUUAAUACUGUUUAUAUCCUUUCUUUUGAUACAUAUACAUGUACACAUACAUAUUCAGCCUAUUGAAAAAUUUCUGAUUCUGCUUUCUUUGGGGUCCUCAUGGAUGAUGGCAUUUGUGAAGGCAGGUGUCUCCUUCUCAGUUGGCCAGGUAAAACUUCACUAAGUUCCUGUGGGAAUGUCAAGCAUUACAGUCUUAAAAAUUGGGGAUUAAAAUGAUGAGAAAAGUAAAGUAAAAUUCAUUCAUUAUGUCUGACAUCAAGUAAAUGCUAAAAAGCAGAAACAGCUAAUGAUGAGUCCUGUGGUUAUUGCUGUGAAACACUGAUUGCUUUUCUAACGCAUGUUGUCAGUGAACCCUAGGUUAGACUCUUACUCUGAGGGCAGGGAAGACAAAUUUUGUCCCUUUGAUAUAUGAAGAAGAGAACAAUAGUUGUCCGGCAGAACUUCCCUAUUGAAAUCUAGAGACAGAUCUGAGAGGCACACGCACAUAAAGAUUCAUUGCUGUCCGGGCGAUACUUCCUAGAAGGAUAGAUGCUGUAAAAGCAAACCACCAAACAAAACAUCCUUAGAAAUCCUUUUAUUUUAAAUAUUUUAUUUUAUUAUUUCUUUUUCCAGUGACUUAAAAAUACCACAAUUAAAAUUAUUAUUAAACUAGAUUAAAUGAAGCGGAUAUUUGUUUUCAAGUUUUAAAGCCAAGAAUGUUCUUUGUGCCUCUGUCCAUUUCUGUGCUCCACGUACCCUGGGCUGUUUACACAAGGAUUAUCUUGUUUAUUUUACAGUUAUUAUGCUUCAUAGAAACUAAUCAAGAGAAUAUUUCUUUUUUUAUGACAAAAAGUGGAUGUUGAAUUGCUCAAGUUGCUUUUAUACAACAUUCUUGGGUUUGUGAUAGUGUGAUAUUUAAUAAAGUGUUUAUAAAGGCAGAUAUAAUAGUUUAUCAGAUCUCAGGCAGUCAUAAUAACAAAACUGCCCUUAGCCUGAGUGCUAUGUACUAUACUUUGUAAUUUACAACACGGCACUUUCUAAAUUACUUCAUAAACUAAGAAAGUUGCCUACCAAAGAAUCAAUCUUAUAGGAACUAAGAAAUCUUUUCCUAAAUAUUUUUUCCGUUACUUAGUCUCCAUACAAAUCAUUAUUAAUAGCUUGGACUCAGGCAGAAACUGCACUCCCUUGUAACACGCAACACGUGCAUGCUGUAAAACAUUUUCGUACUGCCCGAUCUACUUAAGUUGCCAGUGGAAGAGAUCUUUCAGCUUGAAAUUCUAUAUGUUUAAAACGCUCUCCUGCAAAAUCAGUGGGGUAAAGUGAAGGGAAAAGACCAAAAGAAAGGCUGAAGAACUUACAGUGAGAAUCCAGUGGAGCAAUUCAAGUGGCAGUUUGCAGUUUAUGAGAUCAUGAAUAGAGAAUGGAGCCUUUCAUUUCUGUGUUGCUAGUCCAAGUCCCUACCAACUUGUAUGAAGUCUGCUUGGUGGGUUCACUGCAGUAGCAUGUGAAACAAAGCCUGUGGCACCAAGUCCAGCCCUCUUUCUGCUUGUGGCUCAGAGGGGUCCCUGGGCUACAAGAACAAUCACUCAUAUAAGAUGCCUUUCUACUGAAGAUCAUCAGAAAAAGAAAGUGUUAUACAAAUCAGAGUGGUGCUCUCCAGACACCUGCUAAAGCCUCAUAAACUAAUAAGGCUAAUCAGAAGGCUCUUAGGCAUUUUGUUUUGCUCUCCCACCAAAAUCAGAGAGAGACAGAAUGUAUCUGAGAGCAGAACCUGUGCCCAGUUAACUCACUUCUCCAGGUGUAUGGUGGAGAUUUUAUAAAGAGGUGGCAGAGAUAUAUCAUACUUGCAAGAAAGAGCAUGCCUGUAACACAAAGCUCACAGUGCUGUGAUAAAAUUAGGGAUGACAUGUCUCUGGAAAAUUUUGUUUACGGACUGAAAUGAAAAUCAAAUACAGUACAUAUAAUACAGUAUAAUAAAAUAUUAGUAGCAGCACUGUCUUUUCCUUGACACUUCCUAUAGAUUUAGCCAUGUAAUACCACCUAACGUUUCUUGUGGUUGCCUUAUCUUGGUGGACCUCGUUCCUCAGCUUCCCUCUCUCUUUCCUUCUUUCUGCAGAGCUUGAGAGCUUGAGAAUUUCAAAUAUCUGUGGGCUGUUAUUGCUAUGUGUCAUGAAUGUGU